AGAAAAGCUGUGACCGGGAAAAGUACGUUGUGCCGUUGCAUCAAGAGAGUCUGCGCCUUGGCUGGAAGUGCGGAUAUGCGAGAAACUUCAGAAGUUCACCCCGCGAGCUGCCUGUCGGGACCAGCAAGCUGCUGUAAAGAUGGGCCGGUGAAGAGCCGUUACGUAAACGAGUGAUUGCGCCUGGCGCAAUAACUAGGGUGGUACCGCGAAUAAUGCCUCGUCCCUUUU
This 228-nucleotide non-coding RNA is filed under the name Planococcus massiliensis. RNAcentral's name for it is "T-box". It matches the Rfam family "T-box leader". Rfam says of the family: Uncharged tRNA acts as the effector for transcription antitermination of genes in the T-box leader family. T-boxes are found upstream of many aminoacyl-tRNA synthetase genes and some amino acid biosynthetic genes usually in Gram-positive bacteria. RNAcentral also lists the same sequence under 1 other name. Lineage: Bacteria; Bacillati; Bacillota; Bacilli; Caryophanales; Caryophanaceae. The record is from RNAcentral.